UACGGGGGAAGCAAGCGUUGUUCGGAUUUACUGGGCGUAAAGGGCGCGUAGGCGGCCACCGCAAGUCGACUGUGAAAUCUCCGGGCUUAACUCGGAAAGGUCAGCCGAUACUGCGGGGCUAGAGUGCAGAAGGGGCAACUGGAAUUCUCGGUGUAGCGGUGAAAUGCGUAGAUAUCGAGAGGAACACCUGCGGCGAAGGCGGGUUGCUGGGCUGACACUGACGCUGAGGCGCGAAAGCUAGGGGAGCGAACGGG
Molecule: ribosomal RNA, 254 nt
Filed under: uncultured bacterium
Lineage: Bacteria
Description: partial 16S ribosomal RNA
Rfam family: Bacterial small subunit ribosomal RNA
Source: RNAcentral